Long non-coding RNA from Gastrolobium bilobum, 217 nucleotides. RefSeq lists it as uncharacterized. Lineage: Eukaryota; Viridiplantae; Streptophyta; Magnoliopsida; Fabales; Fabaceae. The record is from RefSeq and is a predicted model, not a curated record. The transcript has 3 exons.
CGAUGAAGAAGCAAAGGACGACACUCAAAAUAGCAGAAAGAUCAAAGACCGUGACCUUGCUGUUUGGUGACCCGGGGUUUUAGCUUGAUAUUGCUAGUUUGACAGGUACCUCGGGAGUUGAGAUCUCUGGUGGCAGGAGGCCAGAGUUGAGCUGAUAUGCAUGCUGCUUUUAUUAUAUGCCUGGAUAUUACUUCAUGUUUUACUUUCAGUGCAUUGU